GUUCAGUGAAGAUGAUGACAAUGAAGGUGAUGAGAAAACACGUUGAGUUUUUUGUGCCUCAUCCUGUAGAAGAAGAAGAUGAACGUUAUUCAUGCAGUGAAGGGGAAGUCUCGUGUCUUGUUAGCUCUCUGAGAAGGUGCUUCGAAGGCAGAAAGCAGAAGAACCCAAGUGGCUGAUGAAACUUCGCCAGCUGCUGCCAGACAAUACAGAACAUUGUAGCCCUUCUGAAGAACAGAAAGAGUCCAGCUCUAAAUCUGAGCAACAUCUGGUGUUCCACCCUUCAGUUCACAAUUCUACGCUGGAAUCCGUAAGGCAGAUAAACGAAUGAAUGAUGAUUCAUCCAGUGGCCUGUGGUUCUGUCCUGGGGAACCUGAUGGUCUGUCCUCCAGAUGUUGAAUCACCAGUGGUCUGUGGUUCUGUCCUGGGGAACCUGAUGGUCUGUCCUCCAGAUGUUGAAUCACCAGUGGUCUGUGGUUCUGUCCUGGGGAACCUGAUGGUCUGUCCUCCAGAUGUUGAAUCACCAGUGGCCUGUGGUUCUGUCCUGGUGAGCGUGAUGGUCUGCUCUCCAGAUGUAGACGGAUGAAGUUCAUCACUCAGGCAAACCAAAGUCCAUUACUCUCCUCAUCACCUGUACAGACUGUUCAUUUAGAUUUGAUCUGAGGAGAUUUUGUGAUAUUUGAGGUUCAGUAUAGUUUGUAAACUCUCCUCAUCACCUUUACAUUUAGAUUUUAUUUGAUAAGAUUUUGUUAUCAGUGCUAUAGUUAUUAGUGCAGUCAUAAAUGUUAAGGUUUUUUUUUACUAUAAAACAUCACUGGCAAGUACACAGACUAAACAUUAUGUAUUAUGAAAAGUGAUGUCUAUAAUAUUUACAUUAUUAUUAUUACACCUGACAUCACAUGUAUAUAGAUGCACAUUGGAUAUUGAGUUCUUUGAACUGAGAACUGAAGUUCAGAUCAAAAUUGUGGAGAAUAAUCAAAACAAUUCUAAUAUGUAAGUUUAUUCCUACCGUUCCUAUCCUAUCACGCCUCAGCUAGCGUACUUCACAUCACUUAUUCUGCCUCACCUUACCUGCAUCACCCGGCCUGCAUCACCCAGCCUGCCCCACUCAGCCCAGCUCACACAGCUUACCCCAUAUGGCUAACCCCCCCUGACCUACCCUGCUCUGCCUGUCCACGUAGUCUGCCCUGCCCUGCCUGGCCCGUCCAGCCUGCCCCGCCUUCCUACCUAGGCCCGCGGCCUCUGCUCCCCGCUCACCAGACCUGCGCAUGCUAGUGAUCCCUGCUAGGGAGAUAUUUAUGUAAGUGGGGUGUAGAUGGGUAGAUAUUUGUGUAAGUGGGGUGGAGAUGGGUAGAUAUUUGUGUAGGUGGGAUGGAGAUGGGUAGAUAUUUGUGUAGGUGGGGUGUAGAUGGGUAGAUAUUUGUGUA
Long non-coding RNA from Hemibagrus wyckioides, 1424 nucleotides. RefSeq lists it as uncharacterized. The transcript is spliced from 3 exons. The record is from RefSeq and is a predicted model, not a curated record. Lineage: Eukaryota; Metazoa; Chordata; Actinopteri; Siluriformes; Bagridae.